This 66-nucleotide transfer RNA is filed under the name Hoplunnis punctata. RNAcentral describes it as "tRNA-Cys". It matches the Rfam family "tRNA". From Rfam's summary of the family: Transfer RNA (tRNA) molecules are approximately 80 nucleotides in length. The record is from RNAcentral. Lineage: Eukaryota; Metazoa; Chordata; Actinopteri; Anguilliformes; Nettastomatidae.
AGCCUUAUAGUGUACAACAUAUCAAAUUGCAAAUUUGAAGAUGCAGGUAACUCCUUGCUUAGGCUU